GAAUGAUCGACCCGAGAGCUUUUUGGCUAUGUUGAUUAAAGCCUUGGAUCACGAUUUUCUCCGAGGACAGAUGAUCGACAUUCAGAGCUAAACUUUUCAAAGUUCUUAAAGUCAAAAUAUUGAUUGAGGAUCCAGGAUCGAUUAAAAUGCGAUUAAUCUUAUCUCCAUCACUUGUCCCAGUCACAUAUAACGGCCUAUUGUGAUGAGCAG
Molecule: long non-coding RNA, 210 nt
Filed under: Ananas comosus (pineapple)
Lineage: Eukaryota; Viridiplantae; Streptophyta; Magnoliopsida; Poales; Bromeliaceae
Description: long non-coding RNA (ACOM_LNC005607)
Source: RNAcentral